This 353-nucleotide long non-coding RNA is filed under the name Gossypium barbadense (sea-island cotton). Its description in RNAcentral is "long non-coding RNA (GBAR_LNC019923)". Lineage: Eukaryota; Viridiplantae; Streptophyta; Magnoliopsida; Malvales; Malvaceae. The record is from RNAcentral.
GUCGGACUUACCUUUGGAAACUUCCCAUGAAGUAGUGCUUUCUUCUUUGCUAAAGAGAAUGUCAAACCUGCAAACAAGCCAUUCAAGCAAAGAGUCUAUUCUGAGCCCUUUUCAUGUACAGGGUAUUCUCUUGAUUAACGCCUUUUCCGCUCUCAUUCCUGGCUUGGCUUUCCUUUUUGUCUUGACUCUAUCCCUUCCAGCUGUCUUGGCUUUCCUUUUUGUCUUGAUUCUAUGCCUUCCAGCUGUCUUGGUGAAGACUGUGGUAGUGGUAUCGGUUCUUUGCUGGGUUGAUUGAAUAUCUCUUUUGCUUGCUUCUUUGCGGUAGAAAGACCGAGGGCAAGAUCUCUUUAUAU